Molecule: long non-coding RNA, 234 nt
Filed under: Capsicum annuum
Lineage: Eukaryota; Viridiplantae; Streptophyta; Magnoliopsida; Solanales; Solanaceae
Description: long non-coding RNA (CANN_LNC022242)
Source: RNAcentral
UCGAAGCCAAGUUCUGAUGAACAAAAAGGGGUAAGGUUACUGUUGUUCACCUGAGGGUCGUGAAUCGAUCCAGAGAAGUUCCAAACCAGCAAGAAUAAACUCAAUUUGACCUUCUAAAUCGAUAAUUUCGAACAGAACUAUGAACACAAAACUCCAAUCACGACAGAGCCAAAGGACAGUGUACCUGAGCUUCGGUGAGCUCAGGUGGCGGCAAAGAAGAUGAAUCGAGGCAGA